RNAcentral lists this ribosomal RNA (497 nucleotides) under uncultured bacterium. Its description in RNAcentral is "partial 16S ribosomal RNA". It matches the Rfam family "Bacterial small subunit ribosomal RNA", at positions 28 to 507 of the family's 1533-position model. The record is from RNAcentral.
GAUGAACGCUGGCGGCGUGCCUAAUACAUGCAAGUCGAGCGAACGGACGAGAAGCUUGCUUCUCUGAUGUUAGCGGCGGACGGGUGAGUAACGCGUGGAUAACCUACCUAUAAGACUGGGAUAACUUCGGGAAACCGGAGCUAAUACCGGAUAAUAUUUUGAACCGCAUGGUUCAAAAGUGAAAGACGGUCUUGCUGUCACUUAUAGAUGGAUCCGCGCUGCAUUAGCUAGUUGGUAAGGUAACGGCUUACCAAGGCAACGAUGCAUAGCCGACCUGAGAGGGUGAUCGGCCACACUGGAACUGAGACACGGUCCAGACUCCUACGGGAGGCAGCAGUAGGGAAUCUUCCGCGAUGGGCGAAAGCCUGACGGAGCAACGCCGCGUGAGUGAUGAAGGUCUUCGGAUCGUAAAACUCUGUUAUUAGGGAAGAACAUAUGUGUAAGUAACUGUGCACAUCUUGACGGUACCUAAUCAGAAAGCCACGGCUAACUACGUG